GUAACACGUAUGCAACCUACCCUUUACUGGGGCAUAGCUCAGAGAAAUCUGAAUUAAUUCCCCAUAAUACAAUUGAAUGGCGUCAUUUAAUUAUUAAAGCUGAGGCGGUAAAGGAUGGGCAUGCGUUGCAUUAGCUAGUUGGUGAGGUAAUGGCUCACCAAGGCUACGAUGCAUAGGGGUUCUGAGAGGAUGAUCCCCCACGCUGGUACUGAGACACGGACCAGACUCCUACGGGAGGCAGCAGUAGGGAAUAUUGGUCAAUGGACGCAAGUCUGAACCAGCCAUGCCGCGUGCAGGAAGACGGCCCUCUGGGUUGUAAACUGCUUUUAUAUAGGAAGAAACCUCAUUAUGCGUAAUGAACUGACGGUACCAUAUGAAUAAGGAUCGGCUAACUUCGUGCCAGCAGCCGCGGUAAGACGAAGGAUCCAAGCGUUGUCCGGAUUUACUGGGUUUAAAGGGUGCGUAGGCGGAAUUUUAAGUCAGUGGUGAAAGCCCUUCGCUCAACGAAGGAACUGCCAUUGAAACUGAAAUUCUUGAAUACGGUUGAGGUAGAUGGAAUAUAACAUGUAGCGGUGAAAUGCUUAGAUAUGUUAUAGAACACCGAUUGCGAAGGCAGUCUACUAAGCCGUGAUUGACGCUGAGGCA
RNAcentral lists this ribosomal RNA (645 nucleotides) under uncultured bacterium. RNAcentral describes it as "bacterial SSU rRNA". It matches the Rfam family "Bacterial small subunit ribosomal RNA", at positions 110 to 753 of the family's 1533-position model. The record is from RNAcentral.